UGAAUUCUACCCAGCCCCGUACCUGGU
This 27-nucleotide non-coding RNA is filed under the name Mus musculus (house mouse). The record is from RNAcentral. Lineage: Eukaryota; Metazoa; Chordata; Mammalia; Rodentia; Muridae.